GGAAUGUACUGACCUGUAGGAUAUAAAUGCUAUGGGAAUCAGGCAUAAUUUAACAAUCGUCUUGCAAAUGGUUCUGGGGUAAAAGUUCUUUUUUUUCUUCUAAUUUUAAGACUGUUCUGAUAAAAAUAAUGUCUGUCUAAAUCUCUAGGUUCAUAUGCAUUUGGAGA
Molecule: long non-coding RNA, 167 nt
Organism: Lutra lutra (Eurasian river otter)
Lineage: Eukaryota; Metazoa; Chordata; Mammalia; Carnivora; Mustelidae
Exons: 3
Source: RefSeq, a predicted model, not a curated record